AUUGAACGCUGGCGGCGGGCCUAACACAUGCAAGUCGAGCGGAGCGACGGACGGGUGGGUAAUGCCUAGGAAUCUGACUGGUAGUGGGGGACAACGUCCGGAAACGGGAGUUAAUACUGCACACUAUCAGCUUAGCCUAGGUCGGAUGAGCUAGUUGGUGGGGUAAGGGCCUACCAAGGCGACGAUCCGUAACUGGUCUGAGAGGAUGAUCAGUCACACUGGAACUGAGACACGGUCCAGACUCCUACGGGAGGCAGCAGUGGGGAAUAUUUGACAAUGGGCGAAAGCCUGAGCAAGCAAUGCCGCGUGUAUGAAGAAGGCUUUCGGGUUGUAAAGUACUUUCAGCGGGGAGGCGUUACCCGCACAAGAAGUACCGGCUAACUCCGUGCCAGCAGCCGCGGUAAUAC
This 407-nucleotide ribosomal RNA is filed under the name uncultured bacterium. Its description in RNAcentral is "partial 16S ribosomal RNA". It matches the Rfam family "Bacterial small subunit ribosomal RNA", at positions 30 to 526 of the family's 1533-position model. The record is from RNAcentral.